AGAGUUUGAUCCUGGCUCAGGACGAACGCUGGCGGCGCGCCUAACACAUGCAAGUCGAACGAGCGAGAGAGAGCUUGCUUUCUCGAGCGAGUGGCGAACGGGUGAGUAACGCGUGAGGAACCUGCCUCAAAGAGGGGGACAACAGUUGGAAACGACUGCUAAUACCGCAUAAGCCCACGGGUCGGCAUCGACCAGAGGGAAAAGGAGCAAUCCGCUUUGAGAUGGCCUCGCGUCCGAUUAGCUAGUUGGUGAGGUAACGGCCCACCAAGGCGACGAUCGGUAGCCGGACUGAGAGGUUGAACGGCCACAUUGGGACUGAGACACGGCCCAGACUCCUACGGGAGGCAGCAGUGGGGAAUAUUGCACAAUGGGGGAAACCCUGAUGCAGCGACGCCGCGUGGAGGAAGAAGGUCUUCGGAUUGUAAACUCCUGUUGUUGAGGAAGAUAAUGACGGUACUCAACAAGGAAGUGACGGCUAACUACGUGCCAGCAGCCGCGGUAAAACGCAGGUCACAAGCGUUGUCCGGAAUUACUGGGUGUAAAGGGAGCGCAGGCGGGAAGACAAGUUGGAAGUGAAAUCCAUGGGCUUAACCCAUGAACUGCUUUCAAAACUGUUUUUCUUGAGUAGUGCAGAGGUAGGCGGAAUUCCCGGUGUAGCGGUGGAAUGCGUAGAUAUCGGGAGGAACACCAGUGGCGAAGGCGGCCUACUGGGCACCAACUGACGCUGAGGCUCGAAAGUGUGGGUAGCAAACAGGAUUAGAUACCCUGGUAGUCCACACCGUAAACGAUGAUUACUAGGUGUUGGAGGAUUGACCCCUUCAGUGCCGCAGUUAACACAAUAAGUAAUCCACCUGGGGAGUACGACCGCAAGGUUGAAACUCAAAGGAAUUGACGGGGGCCCGCACAAGCAGUGGAGUAUGUGGUUUAAUUCGACGCAACGCGAAGAACCUUACCUGAUCUUGACAUCCCGAUGACCGCUUCGUAAUGGAGGUUUUUCUUCGGAACAUCGGUGACAGGUGGUGCAUGGUUGUCGUCAGCUCGUGUCGUGAGAUGUUGGGUUAAGUCCCGCAACGAGCGCAACCCCUAUCUUCAGUAGCCAGCAGGUUAAGCUGGGCACUCUGGAGAGACUGCCAGGGAUAACCUGGAGGAAGGUGGGGAUGACGUCAAAUCAUCAUGCCCCUUAUGACCAGGGCUACACACGUGCUACAAUGGCGUAAACAAAGAGAAGCGAACUCGCGAGGGUAAGCAAAUCUCAAAAAUAACGUCUCAGUUCGGAUUGUAGUCUGCAACUCGACUACAUGAAGCUGGAAUCGCUAGUAAUCGCAGAUCAGAAUGCUGCGGUGAAUACGUUCCCGGGUCUUGUACACACCGCCCGUCACACCAUAGGAGUCAGUAACGCCCGAAGUCAGUGACCCAACCGUAAGGAGGGAGCUGCCGAAGGUGGGACCGAUAACUGGGGUGAAGUCGUAACAAGGUA
This 1477-nucleotide ribosomal RNA is filed under the name metagenome. RNAcentral's name for it is "bacterial SSU rRNA". It matches the Rfam family "Bacterial small subunit ribosomal RNA". The record is from RNAcentral.